GGUUUUAAUGGAUAGGACCCACCUUGAAAAUUUGCUGAUGGCCCAACAAUUUUAUGCUGCUUUUCUACAACACAACCAAUCCAGGAUUAACAUUUGCACGUAGAUGUACCAUUCGACGGACCAUCCCCGGCCCCGUCCUCCUCCGCCGUCCUGUCCGGCGUCUCAGCCUCUCGCCCUUGUAGGCAGUUUGAGGAGAAAAUUAAGGAAUCAGGUGGGUGCAAGAACACCCUUUGCUGUACGUACUUGAAAGAUUCAGCCAUGACUGCCCACAUGAUAAGAGUCAGAAUUGGAGGGUGCACUGCUUACACUUCUGUGGUCAAUUUUAAACCUGGCGAUUCAGUUGAAACCUGGAAAUAUGGAAUUGAAUUGCAAUGGAUCCCCCCAAACUAAAAUAAGUUUCUGGGAUAUAUGCUGGUUCUUUUUAGUCUUUUUUUGUGGUGUGUUUUUCAUUUUACUGGUUGAUGAAAGCUUUUUUAUUACUUUUUGUUACCUGCCAUGUACUUCAUUGUUUGGUUUUCAUUCCCUAUUUUGUUUUGAUGCUCAAUGCUAAUGCAUGCUCUAUAAUUCUAUCCC
Long non-coding RNA from Cucumis melo (muskmelon), 573 nucleotides. RefSeq lists it as uncharacterized. The record is from RefSeq and is a predicted model, not a curated record. The transcript has 2 exons. NCBI's taxonomy places the organism in Eukaryota, Viridiplantae, Streptophyta, Magnoliopsida, Cucurbitales, Cucurbitaceae.